AUGAAACGCGAGGCCGGUGACCACCUUCUGCCGGACUUCCUCGCAAAGAACCCCUUCAGCCAGGUCCCCGUUCUCGAGGACGGCGACCUCACCCUCUUCGAAUCGCGCGCAAUCGCGAGGCACGUGCUUCGCAAGUACAAGCUGGAGCUGCUGGUGGGAGACGGCUCGCCGGAGUCGGCGGCGAUGGUAGACGUGUGGCUGGAGGUGGAGGCCCACCAGCACCACCCCGUGGCGGGCGCCAUCUCGAUCCAGUGCCUCCUCGCCCCGCUCCUCGGCGGCGUGCGCGACCAGGCCAUCGUCGACGAGAACGUCGUGAAGCUGAGGAAGGUGCUGGAGGUGUACGAGGAACGGCUGUCCGCGUCCAAGUACCUCGCCGGGGAGUCGGUCAGCCUCGCCGACCUCAACCACUUCCCGCUCAUGCACUACUUUAUGCAGACGGAGUACGCGUCGCUAGUAGAGGAGCGCCCGCAUGUCAAGGCGUGGUGGGAGGAGCUAAAGGCCAGGCCGGCGGCGAGGAAGGUCAAGGAGUUCAUGUCACCGGACUUUGGGCUGGGGAACAAGGCAGAGCAGUGA
Molecule: ribosomal RNA, 573 nt
Filed under: Triticum aestivum (bread wheat)
Lineage: Eukaryota; Viridiplantae; Streptophyta; Magnoliopsida; Poales; Poaceae
Description: partial small subunit ribosomal RNA
Source: RNAcentral